GUGGGAGGAUGGAGACAGCAGCCACCAAAGGCUGGGCAAGGCACAGGUCCAGGCUCUAGAUGAAGUCUUCCUUUCCCAAGGGAGGGGAAAGCCAGCAGGAUGUGAACCAGAGGUGGUGCUUUAGGAAAGCCCCUCCAGCCUGGGGAGGUGCUUUUGUCUCCAGACACAUUCCCAGUUCUCAGGAGCAGCAGAACCUGUGCUGUUUCCACCAGAAUCCUCUGAGGCUGAAACAAAGACAAGGAACCCUUUGAGAUGGAAAGAGCCAGAGCAAGUUGUUGUGGGGAAGGAAAAUUAAAAAUGCCCCCACCUAGAACUUGUGCUGCCGACGGAGUGCAAAACACCCCGGACAAACUGACAGCAGGAACCUGGGGGAGAGAGUUUUAUUUCCCAUGGAAAAGUUCUGCUGUUCAUGUCCAAGGUGCCGUGGCCAGGAGUGGGCUUCUGCCUCCAAAAAUUGGGAAUGGAGCAGGAAUUUUCUCAGACAGAGGCUGCCCCCACCUAGAAGUCAGGCUGCCCUUGGAGUGCCAAACACCUCUGACAAAGUGACAUCAGGACCCUGAGUGGGUGGUGGGGUGUGACAUUGAUGGCAGGGGUUUUUCCCCAGGACUGAGACUGAUGAAAGAGGCUGUUUUCUCGUGUUUGGGCUUGGUUGUUUAUUCUUUCCUUAUUUAUAUUACAUAUAUACAGGGUACAAGGAGUUACAUACACUAAGACAGAAAGGUGCAAAAUGGUUAACGAAGAAUCUCUUCAAGGUCUUUUAUAUGUCUAUUUGUCUGAUAAUCAAAUGCCAAAUAAGUUAGUUUUCUUAGUGACCUAAUGACCUGUGUGCUGCACUGUGGCAUCUUCUAUCCAAUCACUCAUUAUUACCCAAAAAUCCCUAGAAGAAGAAGAUGAAGGAGGAUGAAGGAGAAAGGGACAACGCCCUAAGUCCUCCAUCUUUGUCUCUUAUUUUUUAAAAUACCUUAAACUCUAAAAUAUUUUUUAAAAUACAUUAAACCUUAAACUCUAACUUUCUCACCCAGUGCUUAGGAAAGCUCUAACUCACACACUCACAUUUCCAGUUUCUCUAUUUAACUUUAAAAGCUGUCUCCAUGGUGUUAUGUGAAACUCAGUGCUCUCUUGGGUGUCAGAGCCAGGCAUCACAGAUUAGGGCACAUUCUGUUCCUCUGACCCCAGCAGAAAUGGGCCGCUGUUCGUGUCCAGGGACCCAUGGUCUUGAGUGGGCUUCUGCCUCCAAAAAUUAUGAACAGAGCAGGAUUUCUCUCAGACACAAGCUGCCUCUACCCAGAAGCUGGGCCACCCUUGGAGUGCUAAAUGCCUCUGACAAACUAAAAUCAGGAACCUGGGGGAUGAGUUUUCUUUCCUAUUGUAAAAGACCCCUGUUUGUGUCCAGGGGCCUGUGGCCAGGAGUGGGCUUCUGCCUCCAAAAAUUAGGAACGGAGCAGGAUUCUUCCUGGGCACAAGCCACCCCCACCUAGAACUUGGGCUGCCCUUGGAGUGACAAAUGACUCUGACAGACUGACAUCAGGAACCUGAGUGGUGCCAGGCACUGCUGUGGAGCUGCUGAUCCAC
Molecule: long non-coding RNA, 1572 nt
Organism: Parus major (Great Tit)
Lineage: Eukaryota; Metazoa; Chordata; Aves; Passeriformes; Paridae
Exons: 5
Source: RefSeq, a predicted model, not a curated record